GGUAAUCCAAUCUAGCAUUGAUUUUUUUUCUCUCCUUUUUUCUUUUGGUGCUUGGAAUCAAAUACAAGGAUUUCCUGAAUGCUAAACAUUCACUCUCCCCCUGAACUACACCUCCAACCCAUACGGUGGAUGUUUGAACAAGGACGAUAGUGUUCCCAACCAGCCAUGUCCUGGGACCUUCCUGGAACCUCCUGAGGUCUUACUACCACUCGUUGGCUUCCUCCCAACUAAAUGAGGAUUCUGUAGCUGCACCUAGAGGAGGUAUCCCACGGGUCAACUUUUGUAUUAGGGACUGACGGCGAGGUCAAAGGUGGUCCAAGGACGUCAAAGGACAGGCAUUCUCUCCAGGAUAUGAGAAGAGAAAGGUACGCAUAGAGGCUUUGAGGAAACAUUACAGGUGCAGGGAUGGAUGUGUGUACAGGG
Molecule: long non-coding RNA, 423 nt
Filed under: Rattus norvegicus (Norway rat)
Lineage: Eukaryota; Metazoa; Chordata; Mammalia; Rodentia; Muridae
Description: long non-coding RNA NONRATT032099
Source: RNAcentral